Molecule: ribosomal RNA, 333 nt
Filed under: uncultured bacterium
Lineage: Bacteria
Description: bacterial SSU rRNA
Rfam family: Bacterial small subunit ribosomal RNA
Source: RNAcentral
AGAGUUUGAUUAUGGCUCAGGACGAACGCUGGCGGCGCGCCUAACACAUGCAAGUCGAACGGAGCUGAGAGGAGCUUGCUUUUCUUAGCUUAGUGGCGAACGGGUGAGUAACGCGUGAGUAACCUGCCCUGGAGUGGGGGACAACAGUUGGAAACGACUGCUAAUACCGCAUAAGCCCACGAUCCGGCAUCGGAUUGAGGGAAAAGGAUUUAUUCGCUUCAGGAUGGACUCGCGUCCAAUUAGCUAGUUGGUGAGGUAACGGCCCACCAAGGCGACGAUUGGUAGCCGGACUGAGAGGUUGAACGGCCACAUUGGGACUGAGACACGGCCCAG